UCCACCCCGCCGUCUCCUUCCGCCGCAAUCUCGUCCCCGGCCACCUCCCCUCUCCUUCACCUGCGCUCGGUCACAUGGGGUGGUGACGCAUGCAGGAGUGCGGAGGAUGUGUCUACGUGGGAUGCGCAACUCGGGCCGCAACGGCAUGCCGCCCCGUCCUUGCCUCGAGGUCGCAGCCGCCGCGUCGUCCACGUCCCGUCACCUUGGGUCGGUCAGCGCAGAAGCCCUGGCAAGGAGUCGCUGAAUCUUCCUGUCGAUUUUCAUCGACGUGAAUUGCAUGACGGCGGGCAGCGACAACACGACACCUGACGAGGAUGCACGCUCGGCCAUGAGGACGAGACCAGGAUGGCGCGAUUGGAGGGACGACAACGCCACAGAGUGCUGCGGCCAGCUGCUACCCUAUAGUCGCCGUCGGCCAUGGGAUCGACAUGCCCUGUGCCUCCACUAUGAGGUUGUGUUAACCUGGAGCUGUCGUGCCUGCGCGCACGUCAUGCAGUUUGAGCGGGCAAAGCUCUGGCAGUCCGGCUUCUUCUCGUCAGCCCGUGAGAUUCAAGCUGCCUCUUCUCUCCGAUUCCCCUCCUUUUCUGAUGUGCUUCUUUGGUUCGUGUUUGUACUUCCAUCUUUUUUCAUGCACGGUAGUUGUUUGUGUUGAUGCCUAUAAGGGGAAAUCAAGUUCCUGGUCAUUUUCUUAGGUACAGUGAGUUUUCCAAUUUGUCGCUCAUGGUUUUUGUUUUCUAGAAUCAAAAUUUGGUUCUGCACAACGUAUAUGUAUAUCUUUUGAUGUGCUCUCAAAUCAUUUCUUCUUGGGAGAAGUUUACAUUUA
This is a long non-coding RNA of Triticum aestivum (bread wheat), 823 nucleotides long. RefSeq lists it as uncharacterized. The record is from RefSeq and is a predicted model, not a curated record. Lineage: Eukaryota; Viridiplantae; Streptophyta; Magnoliopsida; Poales; Poaceae. The transcript has 2 exons.